UCUUUUUAACAUAAGUGUAUCCCACAUAUGAGCAUGGGAUGUAGUUAUGUACAAAGUUUAUCUGACAUUCAAAGUUAGCAGGGUGUCCUGUGUAAGUGAAGUGAAAGUUAGCGCACAGUUGUGUCCGCCUCUUUGCAAUCCCAUGGACUAUAGCCCCCCAGGCUCCUCUGUCCCUGGAAUUCUCCAGGCAGUAAUACUGGAGUGGGUUGCCAUUUCCUUCUCCAGGGGAUCUUCCUGACCCGGGGAUUGAACCCGGGUCUCCUGCACUGCAGGCAGAUUCUUUACCACCAGAGCCACUAGGGAAGCCAAUAUUCCCUACAUGUAGUUUUGUACGAAGUUAGUUAGCAGGGCGUCCUGUAUUUUUGCUAAAUGUGGUCAUGCAUACAUGCAUGCUAAGUCGCUUAGUUGUGUCCAACUCUUAGGGACCCCACGGACUGUAGUCUGCCAGGCUCCUCUGUCCAUGGGAUUCUCCAGGCAAGAAUACUAGUCACUCUGGCCCAAAGGAAUUGUUUGGGAUGCCACGUGCCUCAGUUUCCCCAGGGCUCUCUGAUAACAGCAAUCACGUGCAUCCAGCUCUGUCCUAAUAUUUUGCAGGCAUGGCGGGGUCUCCACAUGAGCCACCUGCCCAGUGACAUGGUUGGGGGAGUUGGGCUUUGAACCCAAAAUUCACAGCUAGAGGGGGACUUGCUGACUCUUCCUCGGCUUUGGAUGUCCCUCUGGGAGCCUGGACUUCCAACCUGUCUUUGGUUUCUGCGCCUAACAGGGAACUCACUCCUACCUGGGAUUCGCCAGAGCCAGAGGAGAGAAUUCCCUCCUGGGCCUGGAGGCUGGACCAUGGAUCUCCAUCCAAGUUUGAGGGCUUUGGCAUGGACCUUGGAAGAGCUCAAUCUGGACAAGGGAGAUGGGGUCCCCCAGGGCCAAUCCCCAGCCCCACGGCGCCCGUUCCCCUCAUCCCACCCACCUCCCAACCCCAGCUGCUCCAGCUGUAACGGCUGUAGCCAAGGCUGUCGCAAGAAGCAACGUUCUCCUGGCUUGGAGCAAGGCUCGGGGCGGGAACCAACGGAUCCAUCUGAGGAAGAGGCAGGCGGGGGCACCCAGGGACACCCAGAGCCCAGCUGGGGUGGGAGUCCAGUUUGUCCCUGGGCCCCCCCCACCCCUGGUGUGUGGCCACAGGCAAGUCAACCCCCAUCUCUCCCCUCUUUGCAGGUUCCCCACUUUGUUGAGUUAAAGCUACCAUAGAGCACUUGGUAAGCACCUGCUGUAUACAUAACCCAGUUUCCAUCAGGGCUAGGGAGAAUUGAGGAGGCUGUGUCUCAGGUGGGGAGACCAGAUUUAAACAAAGUUGGAUCUUUUGAGGACCACCUGCAUGCUACAUCCUCACAGGUUGCGAUGGCUAAACUUGUGGACUCCAGGGGACUUGCCCACUGUGACUUCAGGCCCUCUCCAAGCCUCAGUUUCCUCAUCUGUAAAAUGGAAGCUGUAGGUUCCCAUUUCACGAGAUUGUCCCACGGAUUAAAUGAAUGGACUUGUAUGAAGUUCUUAGAUAAGAAAGUGCCGUCCUUGAGGGUUUGUUAACCAUUAACCCUCUCCCAGAGGGUAUGGUGAUGAUCCUCUUGGGGGUGUUCUGGUUCCCAUCAGAGUAGUGAUGCCACGUGGAGCAUCUCAC
Molecule: long non-coding RNA, 1666 nt
Organism: Cervus hanglu yarkandensis (Yarkand deer)
Lineage: Eukaryota; Metazoa; Chordata; Mammalia; Artiodactyla; Cervidae
Source: Ensembl